RNAcentral lists this ribosomal RNA (343 nucleotides) under uncultured bacterium. RNAcentral's name for it is "partial 16S ribosomal RNA". It matches the Rfam family "Bacterial small subunit ribosomal RNA", at positions 338 to 679 of the family's 1533-position model. The record is from RNAcentral.
CCUACGGGAGGCAGCAGUGAGGAAUAUUGGUCAAUGGGCGCGAGCCUGAACCAGCCAAGUCGCGUGAGGGAAGACGGUCCUAUGGAUUGUAAACCUCUUUUGUCGGGGAGCAAAAGACGCCACGCGUGGCGUUCCGAGAGUACCCGAAGAAAAAGCAGCGGCUAACUCCGUGCCAGCAGCCGCGGUAAUACGGGGGAUGCGAGCGUUAUCCGGAUUUAUUGGGUUUAACGGGUGCGCCGGCGGAAGUUCAAGUCAGCGGUAAAAUUGAGAGGCUCAACCUCUUCGAGCCGGUGAAACGGGUUGUCUUGAGUGAGUGAGAAGGAUGCGGCAUGCGUGGUGUAGC